CACCGUACAGGGCCUAAGGUGAGCAUUCCCUGCCAUUCAAGAAAAGAGUGGAUCAGAAAAUUGCACCCUUGAAUUAUCUCCAUGAAGGUAAACCCAUUCCUCAAGAUUCAUUUUUCUGUUCUAAAGUUCAUGCAUAAAAAUCGCAGGGGCACAAAUCAAACUGUACGCUGUCCAAACCUGGAAGAAUACAUGGUAUCAAAUGGAAUGAGGGAAGCUCACCUGAGACUGAGAAUCCAUAGACGGGCAUAGCCUUCGUGGCUGACAGGGGCGGAGGAGGGAGGGCGAGGCACACGCUGUACGAGCUCGCAGGGCCAUACGUGACGGCGGCGGUGGUAGUUGCUUGAGGUCGCUCGAGCUCCCCAUCUUGAAAAGGGGAGGCGGCAUGCUGUGAGACGAGACAACGAGACGAAGAUUGGAUCGAAAAAUUUCUGGGAUACGGGUGGCGGCGCAUCGUGUGGAGCAUUGGGGCAGCGAUGCGGCGGUGGUAGAAGGAGGAUCAGGAUCUGGCCGGUGAACCUCCUCCUCCCCGAUGGAAUCUGGCCGGUGAAUAGCGCUCGUUGGCGGCGGAGAGGAUCUGCGCGGGGGGCAGGAGCAAGCCGUCAAGUGGGGUACUCACCAACAUGGCGGAGUCGCGAGAUCUCCUUGGCGCGUCUCAGCCAGACAUCGGCGGCGGAGGCUAUGGCGGCUGGGGCAUUCUUGACAAUCGAUGUAGGAAACAGAUCGAGGGGGCGGCGGCGGAGCAGUAGGGGCGGCGGCGGAGUGGGAGAGAGGUCGCAUCUGGAUCGAGAGGAGGGUGUG
Molecule: long non-coding RNA, 798 nt
Filed under: Triticum aestivum (bread wheat)
Lineage: Eukaryota; Viridiplantae; Streptophyta; Magnoliopsida; Poales; Poaceae
Description: long non-coding RNA (TAES_LNC024097)
Source: RNAcentral